RNAcentral lists this long non-coding RNA (214 nucleotides) under Mytilus galloprovincialis (Mediterranean mussel). The record is from RNAcentral. Lineage: Eukaryota; Metazoa; Mollusca; Bivalvia; Mytilida; Mytilidae.
AAUGAGGGGGGCAAGGGGGGUCCCAAUAACAGCAAAACAGCAAAUUGAUUUGGGUCAUAACAGAUAACAAGGAAUUAAAAUGGACAAAAACAGAUAACAGUAAAUGAAAUAUUAAAAUAAUUCGGUCUUUGACAAAUCAGUAUUUCUUAUUACGGAUAUAAUCCUUUGUAAUGCAUUCCAUUUUUUGAUGACUAUGUUUUUAGUAUUAAUUUAU